This 46-nucleotide non-coding RNA is filed under the name Schistosoma haematobium. The record is from RNAcentral. Lineage: Eukaryota; Metazoa; Platyhelminthes; Trematoda; Strigeidida; Schistosomatidae.
GCACUACUGAGGAGUCCCAUACUAGGACGAAAUGUCCGUCCAGUGC